UUGGUGCCGCAGCUAACGCGGUAAGCGCCCCGCCUGGGGAGUACGGGCGCAAGCCUGAAACUCAAAGGAAUUGGCGGGGGCCCGCACAACCGGUGGAGCGUCUGGUUCAAUUCGAUGCUAACCGAAAAACCUUACCCGGGCUUGACAUGGUGGGAAACCCUUGCGAAAGCGAGGGGUGCCGUCCUCUGGACGGAAUCCCACCACAGGUGGUGCAUGGCCGUCGUCAGCUCGUGUCGUGAGAUGUUGGGUUAAGUCCCGCAACGAGCGCAACCCCUGCCCCUAGUUGCUACCCCGAAUGGGGAGCACUCUAGGGGGACUGCCGGCGAUAAGCCGGAGGAAGGUGGGGAUGACGUCAGGUCAGUAUGCCCUUUAUGCCCGGGGCUACACAGGCGCUACAGUGGCCAGGACAAUGGGAUGCGACCCAGUAAUGGGGAGCAAAUCCCCCAAACCUGGUCAUGGUGCGGAUUGAGGGCUGAAACUCGCCCUCAUGAAGCCGGAAUCGGUAGUAAUGGCGGAUCAGCUAAGCCGCCGUGAAUACGUUCUCGGGCCUUGCACACACCGCCCGUCACGCCACGGAAGUCAGUCUUCCCGGAAGGCCCCAAGC
Molecule: ribosomal RNA, 604 nt
Filed under: uncultured Thermocrinis sp.
Lineage: Bacteria; Pseudomonadati; Aquificota; Aquificia; Aquificales; Aquificaceae
Description: bacterial SSU rRNA
Rfam family: Bacterial small subunit ribosomal RNA
Source: RNAcentral